Molecule: ribosomal RNA, 1425 nt
Filed under: Triticum aestivum (bread wheat)
Lineage: Eukaryota; Viridiplantae; Streptophyta; Magnoliopsida; Poales; Poaceae
Description: partial small subunit ribosomal RNA
Source: RNAcentral
AUGGCCGCGAGCGUCGAGCAAGUCCUUGGGUGGUUCCCCGGCAUCGACGCCAUCGCCAGGAUUAGGGAUGCCUCCCUCUCCGCUGUCCCGGGCUACGCCAGCGAGGACCGCAUCAGCGCCCUCCAAGACCACCUCCUCCGCGACAUCGUGUCCCGCCUCCCCGUCAAGGACGCCGCCCGCACGGCCGCGCUCGCCUCCCGCUGGCGCCAGCUCUGGCGCUCCACGCCGCUCGUCAUGUACGACGCCCACCUCCUCCCAGCCGGCGACCCCGCGCGCGUCGCCGCCGUCGCCCGCAUCCUCGCCGACCACCCGGGCCCCUUCCGCACCGUCAGCAUCACCUGCUGCAAUUUCGCGUCGCACGAGCGUGAGCUCGCCGAGUGGCCGCGCCUCCUCGCCGCCAAGGGCGUCCAGGACCUCGUCCUCGUCAACAAGCCCGCCGACGACGAACGCCUCCCCGACGUCCCCGCCGACAUCCUCCGCUGCGCCUCGCUCCGGCGCCUCUUCCUGGGAUUCUGGACGUUCCCGGACACCGGCGUCAGCCCACCCGGUGGAGGCGCAGACGGAUUUCCACACCUCCGGGAGCUCAGCUUGCUCGCCUCCAGCCCCGUUCUCGACACCCUCGCGCUCGUCCUCAGCCCAACCUGCGAGCGCGUCCACCUCCGCAGCCAAAGCCUCAAGUGCGUGCUCCUCUGGGAGUGCUUCGUGAAGGAGGUCCUCGUCAUGGACUCCCCGCUCCUGGAGCGGCUCAUUAUGUGGAAAACCAUUGAUGGUGAAGACGACCCGGUGGCUGUGAGGGUCAGCAUUGCUGACGCGCCGAAGCUGCGGGUGCUGGGUUACUUGGAGCCGAGAGUUCACCAGCUGCAGAUUGGUGAGAAUGUCAUCAAGCCUGAUACAAUGGUGAGCCCAAGCACCGUGUUUCCAAGCGUCAAGACAUUGGCCUUGAAGGUGAACUUUGGUGUCUUUGAGGAGGUCAAGAUGCUGGCCUGUGUCCUCAGAUGCUUUCCCGAAGUUGACAGGCUGCACAUCGAGUCUGUCACGGCCAAUGAACCCACUGAAUUGCACCAUGCUGAGUUCUGGCAAGAGGUCCAUCCUAUCGAAUGUGUGAAGUCACACGUCAAGAAGGUGGUUAUCCAUGAAUUCCGCGGAAAACAAAGCGAAAAUGAAUUCCUCGAGUUUGUUAGCAGCAGUGCAGAGAAGCUGCGGUCUUUGCUUGUUGUGAUUACCCAAGAAAUGUUUGCGUCGGCAUGGGAUUUCUCAAUUUCAUUGCCAAAUGAGGUGAAUGAGGUGAUUGUCAAAGCAGGGGCUCUAACGCGUGGAGCAUGGGCCUGCGAGGACUGUCAACUGGUGGUGGCGGGUCCUAAAGUGUUGGAUGGUUGGAACUUCCGCAGAGCGUCUGAUCCCUGUGUUAAGGACCCUUUCCGCUGA